GACGAACGCUGGCGGCGUGCUUAACACAUGCAAGUCGAACGGAAAGGCCCUGCUUUUGUGGGGUGCUCGAGUGGCGAACGUGUGUGUAACACGUGAGUAACCUGCCCUUGACUUUGGUAUAACUUCAGGAAACUGGGGCUAAUACCGGAUAGGAUCUCCUGCCGCAUGGUGGGGGUUGGAAAGUUUCGGCGGUUGGGGAUGGACUCGCGGCUUAUCAGCUUGUUGGUGGGGUAGUGGCUUACCAAGGCUUUGACGGGUAGCCGGCCUGAGAGGGUGACCGGCCACAUUGGGACUGAGAUACGGCCCAGACUCCUACGGGAGGCAGCAGUGGGGAAUAUUGCACAAUGGGCGGAAGCCUGAUGCAGCGACGCCGCGUGCGGGAUGACGGCCUUCGGGUUGUAAACCGCUUUCGCCUGUGACGAAGCGAAAGUGACGGUAAUGGGUAAAGAAGCACCGGCUAACUACGUG
This 468-nucleotide ribosomal RNA is filed under the name uncultured bacterium. RNAcentral describes it as "partial 16S ribosomal RNA". It matches the Rfam family "Bacterial small subunit ribosomal RNA", at positions 28 to 507 of the family's 1533-position model. The record is from RNAcentral.